Molecule: transfer RNA, 75 nt
Filed under: Dipodomys ordii (Ord's kangaroo rat)
Lineage: Eukaryota; Metazoa; Chordata; Mammalia; Rodentia; Heteromyidae
Rfam family: tRNA
About the family: Transfer RNA (tRNA) molecules are approximately 80 nucleotides in length. Their secondary structure includes four short double-helical elements and three loops (D, anti-codon, and T loops).
Source: Rfam by way of RNAcentral
GGGAAGAUAGCUCAGUGGUAGAGAGCAUUUGCCUAGCCAAGUGUAAAGCCCUGAGUUCUAAUCCCAGUACUGCCA